UACGGGGGGGGCAAGCGUUGUUCGGAAUUACUGGGCGUAAAGGGCUCGUAGGCGGCCAACUAAGUCGGACGUGAAAUCCCUCGGCUUAACCGGGGAACUGCGUCCGAUACUGGAUGGCUUGAGUUUGGGAGAGGGAUGCGGAAUUCCAGGUGUAGCGGUGAAAUGCGUAGAUAUCUGGAGGAACACCGGUGGCGAAGGCGGCAUCCUGGACCGGUAUUGACGCUGAGGCGCGAAAGCCAGGGGAGCAAACGGG
Molecule: ribosomal RNA, 253 nt
Filed under: uncultured bacterium
Lineage: Bacteria
Description: partial 16S ribosomal RNA
Rfam family: Bacterial small subunit ribosomal RNA
Source: RNAcentral